UACGUAGGGGGCAAGCGUUGUCCGGAUUUAUUGGGCGUAAAGAGCGUGUAGGCGGCCAGGUAGGUCCGUUGUGAAAACUCGAGGCUCAACCUCGAGACGCCGAUGGAAACCCCCUGGCUAGAGUCCGGAAGAGGAGAGUGGAAUUCCUGGUGUAGCGGUGAAAUGCGCAGAUAUCAGGAAGAACACCCGUGGCGAAGGCGGCUCUCUGGGACGGUACUGACGCUGAGGUACGAAAGCCAGGGGAGCAAACGGG
RNAcentral lists this ribosomal RNA (253 nucleotides) under uncultured bacterium. Its description in RNAcentral is "partial 16S ribosomal RNA". It matches the Rfam family "Bacterial small subunit ribosomal RNA", at positions 524 to 776 of the family's 1533-position model. The record is from RNAcentral.